Molecule: long non-coding RNA, 959 nt
Organism: Mastomys coucha (southern multimammate mouse)
Lineage: Eukaryota; Metazoa; Chordata; Mammalia; Rodentia; Muridae
Exons: 2
Source: RefSeq, a predicted model, not a curated record
ACUCUGUUAACACCUAAAAUUUUCACACACUGGAAGUAUAUGGCUAAAAACAACAUAAUUGUAAGGGAUAGAUGCUACAGAGUUUGAUCUUAGUGAAUCUCUUUUAUGCGUGCAGCGUAAUAGAUUAUGAAACAUGAAAGAGGAGCAGGUUGUAAGUCUUGUUCUCAUCUUCUCAGCAUUCCUCCUUAGUUAACAAUAACUGGAAGACAGAAUUCCAUGCACGUGUCCAGGUAGGAAAGGAGAAGGGUUGCAGGGAGUGCUACAGGAGUCCUGUUCAUCAUUCCCCACAGGAUGUUCAUCUGGGAUCAAAACCACUCUUUGCCAUCAAAAUCUAAGCCGCACUCCAUCGCCAUCCCCAGUCCUGUCUUUCUCACCCACAGCUGCUGAAUUGAGACUCCUUCCUAAUUUACCUCCUGUGCACAAACUUCUAAGUCAGAGUCAUUUUCCUGAGGAUCUUGACCCACAGCAGAAUCUUAUGAUGGGCUUAGUGCGAUUGUGACUUGCUCCCAUGCCCCUUCACCUCAGCUUCACUCUUGCUUCAGAAACAAAGCAUCUUACAAUGAGAGUGCCUGUGGAAAACAGCAGCCUCGUGGGCAUAUGAGGGGGCAGAAGGGGUAAGACUUCAAAAGACUAUUCGGAGAGGACUGUUUGGAAUUCCCCUAGAAAUUCACACCUGUAGGGUAUGACUUUACUCGAUCUGAGCUGCGGUACAAACAGCCUUUACCCCUAGGGACAUCUGUCAAAAACAGUGCCAGCUGUCGAACUCUGUAGCUUCCUUAAGUGAUGCUGAGGCUGGAUAUGACUUAAGUGCAGCUCUCAAAGCUUCCUGUGCUAGAAGCUCAGUUCUGGGCGGCUGAAGACUUUUACGAGUGGGACUCGGGUAAUGAGGUUCUCUUUGGAAAAGUAGUCUCAUGGACACCCUCAACAUUUGGGUGUAAUAAAAGGAUCCUGGCCUCUGA